UGGACAGAUUAUUGUAUUCGAUUGUAUUCAUGGCGUGAAACAGGGGAUUACACUGUUUUUAAACGGAAAGUGAAUCAAUUAUCAUAAUAGACUCCU
Molecule: microRNA precursor, 96 nt
Filed under: Nicotiana sylvestris (wood tobacco)
Lineage: Eukaryota; Viridiplantae; Streptophyta; Magnoliopsida; Solanales; Solanaceae
Description: MIR6152 microRNA precursor family
Rfam family: MIR6152 microRNA precursor family
Source: Rfam by way of RNAcentral